RNAcentral lists this ribosomal RNA (253 nucleotides) under Pseudobythopirellula sp. Its description in RNAcentral is "partial 16S ribosomal RNA". It matches the Rfam family "Bacterial small subunit ribosomal RNA", at positions 524 to 776 of the family's 1533-position model. The record is from RNAcentral. RNAcentral also lists the same sequence under 1 other name. Lineage: Bacteria; Pseudomonadati; Planctomycetota; Planctomycetia; Pirellulales; Lacipirellulaceae.
GACGUACCACCCAAACGUUAUUCGGAUUCACUGGGCUUACAGAGUCCGUAGGCGGUCAAGAAAGUUAGGCGUGAAAUCCCUCAGCUCAACUGAGGAAUAGCGCUUAAAACUACUUGGCUAGAGAGAGUCAGAGGUGAGCGGAACUGAUGGUGGAGCGGUGAAAUGCGUUGAUAUCAUCAGGAACACCGGUGGCGAAAGCGGCUCACUGGGGCUUUUCUGACGCUGAGGGACGAAAGCUAGGGGAGCGAACGGG